This 406-nucleotide ribosomal RNA is filed under the name uncultured bacterium. Its description in RNAcentral is "partial 16S ribosomal RNA". It matches the Rfam family "Bacterial small subunit ribosomal RNA", at positions 30 to 526 of the family's 1533-position model. The record is from RNAcentral.
AUUGAACGCUGGCGGCAGGCCUAACACAUGCAAGUCGAGCGAGCGGCGGACGGGUGAGUAAUGUCUGGGGAUCUGCCCGAUGGAGGGGGAUAACUACUGGAAACGGUAGCUAAUACCGCAUACUAUCGGAUGUACCCAUAUGGGAUUAGCUAGUAGGUGGGGUAAAGGCUCACCUAGGCGACGAUCUCUAGCUGGUCUGAGAGGAUGAGCAGCCAAACGGGGACUGAGACACGGUCCAGACUCCUACGGGAGGCAGCAGUGGGGAAUAUGGCACAAUGGGCGCAAGCCUGAUGCAGCCAUGCCGCGUGUAUGAAGAAGGCCUUCGGGUUGUAAAGUACUUUCAGCGGGGAGGCGUUACCCGCAGAAGAAGCACCGGCUAACUCCGUGCCAGCAGCCGCGGUAAUUC